GAUGAACGCUGGCGGCGUGCCUAAUACAUGCAAGUCGAGCGAACAGAUAAGGAGCUUGCUCCUUUGACGUUAGCGGCGGACGGGUGAGUAACACGUGGGUAACCUACCUAUAAGACUGGGAUAACUUCGGGAAACCGGAGCUAAUACCGGAUAACAUUUGGAACCGCAUGGUUCUAAAGUGAAAGAUGGUUUUGCUAUCACUUAUAGAUGGACCCGCGCCGUAUUAGCUAGUUGGUAAGGUAACGGCUUACCAAGGCAACGAUACGUAGCCGACCUGAGAGGGUGAUCAGCCACACUGGAACUGAGACACGGUCCAGACUCCUACGGGAGGCAGCAGUAGGGAAUAUUCCGCAAUGGGCGAAAGCCUGACGGAGCAACGCCGCGUGAGUGAUGAAGGUCUUCGGCUCGUAAAACUCUGUUAUUAGGGAAGAACAAAUGUGUAAGUAACUGUGCACGUCUUGACGGUACCUAAUCAGAAAGCCACGGCUAACUACGUG
RNAcentral lists this ribosomal RNA (497 nucleotides) under uncultured bacterium. RNAcentral's name for it is "partial 16S ribosomal RNA". It matches the Rfam family "Bacterial small subunit ribosomal RNA", at positions 28 to 507 of the family's 1533-position model. The record is from RNAcentral.